GAUGAACGCUGGCGGCGUGCCUAAUACAUGCAAGUCGAGCGAACAGACGAGGAGCUUGCUCCUCUGACGUUAGCGGCGGACGGGUGAGUAACACGUGGAUAACCUACCUAUAAGACUGGGAUAACUUCGGGAAACCGGAGCUAAUACCGGAUAAUAUAUUGAACCGCAUGGUUCAAUAGUGAAAGACGGUUUUGCUGUCACUUAUAGAUGGAUCCGCGCCGCAUUAGCUAGUUGGUAAGGUAACGGCUUACCAAGGCAACGAUGCGUAGCCGACCUGAGAGGGUGAUCGGCCACACUGGAACUGAGACACGGUCCAGACUCCUACGGGAGGCAGCAGUAGGGAAUCUUCCGCAGUGGGCGAAAGCUUGACGGAGCAACGCCGCGUGAGUGAUGAAGGUCUUCGGAUCGUAAAACUCUGUUAUUAGGGAAGAACAAAUGUGUAAGUAACUAUGCACGUCUGGACGGUACCUAAUCAGAAAGCCACGGCUAACUACGU
RNAcentral lists this ribosomal RNA (496 nucleotides) under uncultured bacterium. RNAcentral describes it as "partial 16S ribosomal RNA". It matches the Rfam family "Bacterial small subunit ribosomal RNA", at positions 28 to 506 of the family's 1533-position model. The record is from RNAcentral.